This 507-nucleotide long non-coding RNA is filed under the name Sorghum bicolor (sorghum). RNAcentral's name for it is "long non-coding RNA (SBIC_LNC018363)". The record is from RNAcentral. Lineage: Eukaryota; Viridiplantae; Streptophyta; Magnoliopsida; Poales; Poaceae.
CCCCUCAGCAGUAUUUGGAUAGAUUGUGUUAAAGGUAGUCAUGUGCUAUUGGGCAGGCGCAAGUUUGACGGUUUGAUGAUUUACUUCUGGUGGAAUCUGUGAAAGGAAAGAAAUAGAAGAACAUUUCAACACAAAAACUUUCAGCCAAGGAAAGUGGUCUUUCUCUGUAAAGAAGACUCAGGGGACGUUGUUUCCUCUUAAUUAGUCAGUAACUCUUAGUGUUUUGUUCUUUAGGUUUUUUUCUCUCUCUUUUGGCAUCGUAGGGCCUUUAGGGUGCCAGGGUGGUCGUUAGUAGUGGAGUAGAGUUUUCUUUUCUUCUUGGCCCAUCUGGUGUUUUCACCUAUUUUUUUGUAUUUCUCUCGUCUAAUAAAAUUCUGGCAAAAGUUUUUUGCCGCCUUUCGAAAAAAAGUCAUGUGCUAUUGGUUAUGGUUUAUAGAUAUAACUACUAGGAUUAUUUUUCAGUUUAUUAUGCUUUCGGAUUGCAGCAGCGUGCUCCCUUGUAUGUUC